UGAAAGAGAGAGAGUUCCCCAUGGAUCUGAACGUCAAUCUUGAGCAGUGACUUGUCAUGCCGAAUCGACAGCAUGCGUGCAGGUGCGCUAUGUGACUGCUGUAAGGGAUAAGUAAGACGUUCUAUGCAGUACCAUCGAUAAGACGCUAUCUCAGCAGCGCGGUAAUCGAGUCAGGCGUUAUCGAUUAUGGUUAAAGGGAGCGUAGGCUGAUAUAAGUGUGUUGUGAAAUGUAGACGCUCACGUCUGAUGCAGCGCAUACUGUUUCUUGAGUACGCACAACGUGGCGGAAUCGUCGUGUAGCGUGAAAUGCUUAGAUAUGACGAAGAACUCCGAUGCGAAGGCAGCUGACGGGAGCGCAACUGACGCUUAAGCUCGAAGGUGCGGGUAUCAAACAGGAUUAGAUACCUGGUAGUCCGCACAGUAAACGAUGGAUGCCCGCUGUUGGUACUGGUAUCAGCGGCUAAGCGAAAGCAUUAAGCAUCCCACUGGGGAGUACGCGGGCAACGGUGAAACUCAAAGGAAUUGACGGGGGCCCGCACAAGCGGAGGAACAUGUGGUUUAAUUCGAUGAUACGCGAGGAACCUUACCCGGGCUUGAAUUGCAGAGGAAGGAUUUAGAGAUAAUGACGCCCUUCGGGGUCUCUGUGAAGGUGCUGCAUGGUUGUCGUCAGCUCGUGCCGUGAGGUGUCGGCUUAAGUGCCAUAACGAGCGCAACCCCUCUCUUCAGUUGCCAUCAGGUUAAGCUGGGCACUCUGGAGACACUGCCACCGUAAGGUGUGAGGAAGGUGGGGAUGACGUCAAAUCAGCACGGCCCUUACGUCCGGGGCUACACACGUGUUACAAUGGCCGGUACAGAGGGAUGGUGUAAUGCAAAUUGCAUCAAAUCUUGAAAGCCGGUCCCAGUUCGGACUGGGGUCUGCAACCCGACCCCACGAAGCUGGAUUCGCUAGUAAUCGCGCAUCAGCCAUGGCGCGGUGAAUACGUUCCCGGGCCUUGUACACACCGCCCGUCAAGCCAUGAAAGCCGGGGGUGCCUGAAGUCCGUGACCGCAAGGAUCGGCCUAGGGCAAAACUGGUGAUUGGGGCUAAGUCGUAACAAGGUAGCCGUACCGGAAGGUGCGGCUGGAACACCUCC
This 1133-nucleotide ribosomal RNA is filed under the name uncultured bacterium. Its description in RNAcentral is "bacterial SSU rRNA". It matches the Rfam family "Bacterial small subunit ribosomal RNA". The record is from RNAcentral.